RNAcentral lists this ribosomal RNA (395 nucleotides) under uncultured bacterium. Its description in RNAcentral is "partial 16S ribosomal RNA". It matches the Rfam family "Bacterial small subunit ribosomal RNA", at positions 523 to 918 of the family's 1533-position model. The record is from RNAcentral.
AUACGUAGGGUGCAAGCGUUAAUCGGAAUUACUGGGCGUAAAGCGUGCGCAGGCGGUUUUGGAAGUCAGAGGUGAAAUCCCCGGGCUCAACCUGGGAACUGCCUUUGUGACUGCAAGGCUAGAGGACGGCAGCGGGGGGUGGAAUUUCGUGUGCAGCAGUGAAAUGCGUAGAUAUGCGGAGGAACACCGAUGGCGAAGGCAAUCCCCUGGGCCUGUACUGACGCUCAUGCACGAAAGCGUGGGGAGCAAACAGGAUUAGAUUCCCUGGUAGUCCACGCCCUAAACGAUGUCAACUGGUUGUUGGGUCUUCAUUGACUCAGUAACGAAGCUAACGCGUGAAGUUGACCGCCUGGGGAGUACGGCCGCAAGGUUGAAACUCAAAGGAAUUGACGGGG